CUGAAAAGCUUACUUUUUGUUCAUGUAUUAUUGUAUUUCUAGGACUGGAUCUUGAGCAAGGACCACAUUCAUUAGAUAAUACACAUCACUUGGAAGAAAGAGGAAAAUUGUUAGAAAAACAAGAAGAUAUAGAAAACGAAAAAGAGAAGAAGCAUAAUGCAGAGAUUGAAGAAUUGAAGAGGCAAUGUAAUCGGGUGAUGUAGCAGAGGAAUGUAGUAAAGGUUUCCUCUUCUUUAACUUUCACUAUUUUUUCUUAUUCCAAACGUUGAUUUAACCGUGUAUUAUGAGACAUUCAUGCAACUGUUGGUAAACGUUAAAUAAUAUUCCAAAUUAAAAAAAAAUUGAUGUUGAAAAUUAAAGUUGUCAAAUAAUUUAAUUGUUAGUUGGUCUUAUUUGUCUAAUGUACUGUAAUAUACAUCCUAAUAGGAAACAAAAGUAACAAUAUUUGUGGUUCUUUAAAAAGAAAUUUGUGAAAACAAGUUCUUUAUCACCUUGGAGAUAAAAAAAAAGUCUCUAAUUAUAUAACAUUUAUUUUUCAAUAUGAGCCACAAGCUUAAUCUAAUUUAAUUUCAUCCUU
Long non-coding RNA from Saccostrea cuccullata (small rock oyster), 577 nucleotides. RefSeq lists it as uncharacterized. The record is from RefSeq and is a predicted model, not a curated record. The transcript is spliced from 3 exons. Lineage: Eukaryota; Metazoa; Mollusca; Bivalvia; Ostreida; Ostreidae.